RNAcentral lists this long non-coding RNA (881 nucleotides) under Hordeum vulgare. RNAcentral describes it as "long non-coding RNA (HVUL_LNC013880)". Lineage: Eukaryota; Viridiplantae; Streptophyta; Magnoliopsida; Poales; Poaceae. The record is from RNAcentral.
GUCACCAACCUAAAUCCAAGUAUGUCCAUAAUCUGAACCAUCAUUAGGAGCAUACACUUUUGCAGGUUGAAAUUCCACUGGCAAGAUCAAACAUGCAGAGCACAAGCACACACCACACACACAAGAUGCCCGCACGCCACAAGCACACACACAUACCACACACCACAUAACACACACACUUACGGAAGUUCUUUUCUUUGGAAUCAGCAAGUACUCCUAACAAAGUUAGGAUAGCAUCCAAAUAUAAAUAACUUAUCUUACUCCCCCUGAUUCAUAAUAUAAGCAGUUUUCGAAUUUGUGUUAGUCAAACAUUUUUAGGUUUGACCAUCGAUAUAGAAAGAAUUACCAGCUUAGACAAUAUGAAACUGACAUGACUAGUGUCAUAAUUAUAUUAAGAAUUUGUCUGAAACAACAUUUUUUUUGAAAAAAUUAUGAUCAAAGUGUUACUUUGAAAACCAUGUAAAUGCUCUAGGCUACUUAUAUUGUGAAUCACAGGCAGUACACAAAAACAUGAUCAUUGUCAGCCUGUCAUUCACUUUGUGCCGUCAUGUCAAUGCAGGUCGUAACUCAUGUAACUUUGAAGUAGUGCCCUGAUAUAACGGUGGGUGAAGCACUAGAAGACACAUUUCUUCUACUGAUCCUUCAAAUCAGAUAAAGAAAAGGGAAAAAAUGUUCACAUUGUUCGCCUUUGUGGAGGGGAUGUCAUUACUCGAAUCAGGAGGGCAAUGCCUAAUAUUGAUCCAUACUUCAGAAUGUUUCAACUCUGUGUCUCAUCUAUAAUCAGACUAUUUUCAAUUUUAGUCAUCUACCCGGUUUUGUAUCAAUACAAGUUGAGCACGUUUUCUAUGGUGCGUAAAGGGGUAGAGACCCAAACAGCUAGG